CAAUGGACGGAAGUCUGACCGAGCAACGCCGCGUGAGUGAAGAAGGUUUUCGGAUCGUAAAGCUCUGUUGUAAGAGAAGAACGAGUGUGAGAGUGGAAAGUUCACACUGUGACGGUAUCUUACCAGAAAGGGACGGCUAACUACGUGCCAGCAGCCGCGGUAAUACGUAGGUCCCGAGCGUUGUCCGGAUUUAUUGGGCGUAAAGCGAGCGCAGGCGGUUAGAUAAGUCUGAAGUUAAAGGCUGUGGCUUAACCAUAGUACGCUUUGGAAACUGUUUAACUUGAGUGCAAGAGGGGAGAGUGGAAUUCCAUGUGUAGCGGUGAAAUGCGUAGAUAUAUGGAGGAACACCGGUGGCGAAAGCGGCUCUCUGGCUUGUAACUGACGCUGAGGCUCGAAAGCGUGGGGAGCAAACAGGAUUAGAUACCCUGGUAGUCCACGCCGUAAACGAUGAGUGCUAGGUGUUAGACCCUUUCCGGGGUUUAGUGCCGCAGCUAACGCAUUAAGCACUCCGCCUGGGGAGUACGACCGCAAGGUGAAACUCAAAGGAAUUGACGGG
RNAcentral lists this ribosomal RNA (556 nucleotides) under uncultured bacterium. Its description in RNAcentral is "bacterial SSU rRNA". It matches the Rfam family "Bacterial small subunit ribosomal RNA", at positions 369 to 917 of the family's 1533-position model. The record is from RNAcentral.